AGUGAACGCUGGCGGUAGGCCUAACACAUGCAAGUCGAACGGCAGCACAGUAAGAGCUUGCUCUUACGGGUGGCGAGUGGCGGACGGGUGAGGAAUACAUCGGAAUCUACUUUUUCGUGGGGGAUAACGUAGGGAAACUUACGCUAAUACCGCAUACGACCUACGGGUGAAAGCAGGGGAUCUUCGGACCUUGCGCGAUUGAAUGAGCCGAUGUCGGAUUAGCUAGUUGGCGGGGUAAAGGCCCACCAAGGCGACGAUCCGUAGCUGGUCUGCGAGGAUGAUCAGCCACACUGGAACUGAGACACGGACCAGACUCCUACGGGAGGCAGCAGUGGGGAAUAUUGGACAAUGGGCGCAAGCCUGAUCCAGCCAUACCGAGUGGGUGAAGAAGGCCUUCGGGUUGUAAAGCCCUUUUGUUGGGAAAGAAAAGCAGCAGGUUAAUACCCCGCUGUUCUGACGGUACCCAAAGAAUAAGCACCGACUAACUUCGUG
Molecule: ribosomal RNA, 492 nt
Filed under: uncultured bacterium
Lineage: Bacteria
Description: partial 16S ribosomal RNA
Rfam family: Bacterial small subunit ribosomal RNA
Source: RNAcentral